RNAcentral lists this small RNA (125 nucleotides) under Marmota monax (woodchuck). The record is from RNAcentral. Lineage: Eukaryota; Metazoa; Chordata; Mammalia; Rodentia; Sciuridae.
GCUGGGCUUGGUGGCACACACCUGUAAUCCCAGCAGCUCAGGAGGCUGAGGCAGGAGGAUCAUGAGUUCAAAGCCAGCUUCAGCAAAAGUGAGGUGCUAAGCAACUGAGUGAGACCUUGUCUCUA